Molecule: ribosomal RNA, 227 nt
Filed under: uncultured bacterium
Lineage: Bacteria
Description: partial 16S ribosomal RNA
Rfam family: Bacterial small subunit ribosomal RNA
Source: RNAcentral
UGAGUAAUCUGCCCUCCACUUUGGGAUAGCCACCGGAAACGGUGAUUAAUACCGGAUAUGGCCUCGGCCCGCAUGGGUUGUGGUGGAAAGUUUUUCGGUGGGGGAUGUGCUCGCGGCCUAUCAGCUUGAUGGUGGGGUAAUGGCCUACCAUGGCUUCGACGGGUAGCCGGCCUGAGAGGGUGACCGGCCACACUGGGACUGAGACACGGCCCAGACUCCUACGGUAG